RNAcentral lists this ribosomal RNA (253 nucleotides) under uncultured bacterium. RNAcentral describes it as "partial 16S ribosomal RNA". It matches the Rfam family "Bacterial small subunit ribosomal RNA", at positions 524 to 776 of the family's 1533-position model. The record is from RNAcentral.
GACGUAGGGGGCAAGCGUUGUUCGGAAUUAUUGGGCGUAAAGCGCUCGUAGGCGGGACUGGAAGUCCGUGUUGAAAGACCUCGGCUCAACUGAGGGACCGGCUCGGAUACUCUAGUUCUUGAGGCAAUCAGAGGGUGAUGGAAUUCCCGGUGUAGCGGUGAAAUGCGUAGAUAUCGGGCAGAACACCAGUGGCGAAGGCGGCCGGCUGGGCCGUACCUGACGCUGAGGCGCGAAAGCCAGGGGAGCGAACGGA